AUCGCAGUCUGCAACCCGACCUGCGUGAAGUCGGAAUCGCUAGUAAUCGCGGAUCAGCAUGCCGCGGUGAAUACGUUCCCGGGCCUUGUACACACCGCCCGUCACACCAUGAGAGUCGAUAACACCCGAAGCCUGUGAGCUAACCUUUUAGGAGGCAGCAGUCGAAGGUGGGGUUGAUGAUUGGGGUGAAGUCGUAACAAGGUAAC
Molecule: ribosomal RNA, 206 nt
Filed under: uncultured bacterium
Lineage: Bacteria
Description: partial 16S ribosomal RNA
Rfam family: Bacterial small subunit ribosomal RNA
Source: RNAcentral